Molecule: ribosomal RNA, 516 nt
Filed under: uncultured bacterium
Lineage: Bacteria
Description: partial 16S ribosomal RNA
Rfam family: Bacterial small subunit ribosomal RNA
Source: RNAcentral
GACGAACGCUGGCGGCGUACCUAAUACAUGCAAUUCGAGCGGACUUUCAAGAAGCUUGCUUUUUGAAAGUUAGCGGCGGACGGGGGAGUCACACGUGCGCAACCUGCCUGUAAGACGGGGAUAACUCCGGGGAAACCGGGGCUAAUACCGGAUAAUACCUUUCUUCGCAUGAAGGAAGGUCGAAAGGCGGCGCAAGCUGCCGCUUGCAGAUGGGCCUGCGGCGCAUUAGCAAGUUGGUGAGGUAACGGCUCACCAAGGCGACGAUGGGUAGCCGACCUGAGAGGGUGAUCGGCCACACUGGGACUGAGACACGGCCCAGACUCCUACGGGAGGCAGCAGUAGGGAAUCUUCCGCAAUGGACGAAAGUCUGACGGAGCAACGCCGCGUGAGCGAAGAAGGUCUUCGGAUCGUAAAGCUCUGUUGUCAGGGAAGAACAAGUACCGUUCGAAUAGGGAGGUACCUUGACGGUACCUGACCAGAAAGCCACAGCUAACUACGUGCCAGCCGCCGCCGUAA